UUUGCGCAUGGGGGAAACCCUGNCGCAGCAACGCCGCGUGAGUGAUGAAGGCCUUCGGGUCGUAAAGCUCUGUCAAGUGGGAAGAAUCUGCUUUGUGAUAAUACCAUAGAGCACUGACGGUACCACUGAAGGAAGCACCGGCUAACUCCGUGCCAGCAGCCGCGGUAAUACGGGGGGUGCUAGCGUUAUUCGGAAUCAUUGGGCGUAAAGGGCGCGUAGGCGGUCUUUUAAGUCAGAUGUGAAAGCCCUCGGCUUAACCGAGGAAGUGCAUUUGAUACUAAGAGACUUGAGUAUGGGAGAGGGAAGCGGAAUUCCUGGUGUAGCGGUGAAAUGCGUAGAUAUCAGGAGGAACACCGGUGGCGAAGGCGGCUUCCUGGACCAAUACUGACGCUGAGGCGCGAAGGCGUGGGGAGCAAACAGGAUUAGAUACCCUGGUAGUCCACGCAGUAAACUGUGAACACUAGGUGUAGCGGGUAUUGACCCCUGCUGUGCCGAAGCUAACGCAUUAAGUGUUCCGCCUGGGAAGUACGGCCGCAAGGUUAAAACUCAAAGAAAUUGACGGA
This 563-nucleotide ribosomal RNA is filed under the name uncultured bacterium. Its description in RNAcentral is "bacterial SSU rRNA". It matches the Rfam family "Bacterial small subunit ribosomal RNA", at positions 363 to 917 of the family's 1533-position model. The record is from RNAcentral.